RNAcentral lists this ribosomal RNA (447 nucleotides) under uncultured bacterium. RNAcentral's name for it is "partial 16S ribosomal RNA". It matches the Rfam family "Bacterial small subunit ribosomal RNA", at positions 329 to 792 of the family's 1533-position model. The record is from RNAcentral.
GCCCAGACUCCUACGGGAGGCAGCAGUGGGGGAUAUUGCACAAUGGGGGGAACCCUGAUGCAGCGACGCCGCGUGGGUGAAGGAGCGUUUCGGCGCGUAAAGCCCUAUCGGCAGGGAAGAAGGAGGACGGUACCUGACUAAGAAGCCCCGGCUAACUACGUGCCAGCAGCCGCGGGAAUACGUAGGUGGCAAACGUUGUCCGGAUUUACUGGGUGUAAAGGGCGUGUAGCCGGGUUGACAAGUCAGAUGUGAAAUCCUGCGGCUUAACCGCAGAACUGCAUUUGAAACUGUUGAUCUUGAGUACUGGAGAGGCAGACGGAAUUCCUAGUGUAGCGGUGAAAUGCGUAGAUAUUAGGAGGAACACCGGUGGCGAAGGCGGCCUGCUGGACUGUGACUGACGUUGAGGCCCGAAGGCGUGGGGAGCAAACAGGAUUAGAUACCCCUGUA